Non-coding RNA from Rattus norvegicus (Norway rat), 133 nucleotides. Lineage: Eukaryota; Metazoa; Chordata; Mammalia; Rodentia; Muridae. The record is from Ensembl.
GGCUUCUUGUCCUUUGAGCUACGGGGAUCACAUUGCUCCUCGGCCAGGGUGGGAGGCCAAGAUCAGCCUGUGAGGAAGAUUUUCGUCAGGACUGCUGUGAGCCGGCAGCCUUGUUUUCCAGCCUCAGACAUUG